GAUGAACGCUGGCGGCGUGCCUAAUACAUGCAAGUCGAGCGAACGGACGAGAAGCUUGCUUCUCUGAUGUUAGCGGCGGACGGGUGAGUAACACGUGGAUAACCUACCUAUAAGACUGGGAUAACUUCGGGAAACCGGAGCUAAUACCGGAUAAUAUUUUGAACCGCAUGGUUCAAAAGUGAAAGACGGUCUUGCUGUCACUUAUAGAUGGAUCUGCGCUGCAUUAGCUAGUUGGUAAGGUAACGGCUUACCAAGGCAACGAUGCAUAGCCGACCUGAUAGGGUGAUCGGCCACACUGGAACUGAGACACGGUCCAGACUCCUACGGGAGGCAGCAGUAGGGAAUCUUCCGCAAUGGGCGAAAGCCUGACGGAGCAACGCCGCGUGAGUGAUGAAGGUCUUCGGAUCGUAAAACUCUGUUAUUAGGGAAGAACAUAUGUGUAAGUAACUGUGCACAUCUUGACGGUACCUAAUCAGAAAGCCACGGCUAACUACGUG
RNAcentral lists this ribosomal RNA (497 nucleotides) under uncultured bacterium. Its description in RNAcentral is "partial 16S ribosomal RNA". It matches the Rfam family "Bacterial small subunit ribosomal RNA", at positions 28 to 507 of the family's 1533-position model. The record is from RNAcentral.